This 394-nucleotide transfer-messenger RNA is filed under the name Bacteroidales. Its description in RNAcentral is "Cryptobacteroides sp012800665 Standard tmRNA". It matches the Rfam family "transfer-messenger RNA". From Rfam's summary of the family: Bacterial tmRNA, also known as 10Sa RNA or SsrA, is named for its dual tRNA and mRNA-like properties. The record is from RNAcentral. Lineage: Bacteria; Pseudomonadati; Bacteroidota; Bacteroidia. RNAcentral also lists the same sequence under 1 other name.
GGGGAUGUUCUGGUUUAGACAGCAUCGACUCCGGAAAGUAAGCACGCCGGGCUAUGGGGUAAUGCCCGUUAAAAUACACUCCGAACAAUUAGCUGGCAACAGCAAUUAUGCACUCGCUGCCUAAUCUGCCAAGCGGAUUAGCUUAAUGGAGCCGCCCAGGUGCGGAAACCACGAGUAUCCCUCCCGCAUUAGGGCUUCUCUGUCGGGGCAAUGGGGUAUCAUUAAAGAAGUCUGCAUGCAGGGACUCCUUUAAACUGCAUUAAGAUUAAAAGGAUAAGGUUCGGGUGGCCUGUCUUCCGGCAGCCCUUUCCCUACAAACAAAGGAAGAAUAAGCGUGUAGAAAGCUUUUGGGAGCUUUGUUUGGACGGCGGUUCGACUCCGCCCAUCUCCACAA